GGGAAAAACACAGUUUUGGCAAUAAUAGCGUGUGCAUAAUAUGUCCAGUUUAGGAAAAGUAAUUCAAAAUCAAUUUACAAAGUACAUAAUGUGUGUAGGAUUUCAGUUUAUUUUGAAAGUUACAGGUCACAAACUACAAGGUCUAAAAUAAAAUUUCAAUGUGAAAUAAUUUUAGAAGUUGGUAUGUUUGUCUUGGAAGUGUAAUACCCAUUACAGAAAACAAAAUUGGCACACACAAGUAUACACACUGCUCAAAAAAAUUAAGGGAACACAAAAAUAACACAUCCUUGUAGCGGAGAUACAAUAUUCCCCAGGUAUCUCCGCUUAUAAUCCAAGUGAGGCUCAGGAACAAGUAAAUUGUUAAUCCACAGGCAAGGCUUCCAGCAGGCAAAAUAACACAGCAGUAUCCCAACAGCAAUCCCAGUAACUGGACGACACACAGUUUCAGGAGCAGAAAUGACAACCUUUAUUUCACAGUGCCUUAUGUAGCAUGCUCCCAUGCAAGGGAGGGAUUUCCAUUCAUUAAUACAAUAGCCAAUGCUGUCCCGGUAACCUCCCACACAUCUCCUCCUCUCAGCCGGCAUCAUAAUCCCCUUAUCCAGUACAGCAAUUCCCCCCAUUUCUGGAUGUACCCCUAAACCUAGGGGUACCCCUUUAAAUUAUACAUCCCCUGGUAGCCCUGAUCUGGGUGAACAACGUAUCCAAAAAUCACCCAGAUCGGACCAGGGGUUCUGGAAUUUCCUGGAGGGAAUAAAAUGACCCACCGUGCUGGAUGAACUAGCCGAAUUGGGCUCCAUGCGAUGGGGCCCUGCGGUCGGUCCUGGGAAAGGCGAAUGCAGUACCUAAAAGCCUCCAGCUAUAUAGGCUUGGGAGGGUUCGCCUGAAUCCCCUCGUUCGGUUGGUAGUUUGGAACCGAACGGACCGGGCUGAUGGAGGUCUCAGCGGUGUUCGCCUAAUCGAGUGUCCGUUUUUAGUUCCAGACACUCGACGGCAAAACACCGCUGUUCGGGAGGUUAAGAUGGCCGCCGCCACGUGUUCGUUUCUCAAAUGGCGGCCACCCCUGGGAACAAAGGAUUGCUACACAGCUUGUCAAUUACCCGUUCGCAACAAUGUUGCAACGGGUAAUUGAAGGCACACUUCACACAGGGAGGUCUGAC
Molecule: non-coding RNA, 1157 nt
Organism: Pelobates cultripes (western spadefoot toad)
Lineage: Eukaryota; Metazoa; Chordata; Amphibia; Anura; Pelobatidae
Source: the annotation of a GenBank genome assembly